RNAcentral lists this transfer RNA (102 nucleotides) under Microcaldota archaeon. Its description in RNAcentral is "tRNA-Asp". It matches the Rfam family "tRNA". Rfam says of the family: Transfer RNA (tRNA) molecules are approximately 80 nucleotides in length. Lineage: Archaea; Nanobdellati; Microcaldota. The record is from RNAcentral.
GCCUCUGUAGUGUAGUGUUUGAUGGCUAGUGCUAUUAACGCAUUGUGGUUAGCAUACGAGACUGUCACUCUUGCGACCCGGGUUCGAACCCCGGCGGAGGCG